UAGAGCACACACCUUGAUCAGGAAAA
This 26-nucleotide non-coding RNA is filed under the name Mus musculus (house mouse). The record is from RNAcentral. Lineage: Eukaryota; Metazoa; Chordata; Mammalia; Rodentia; Muridae.